UAUCAAUAAGAGUUGAAUUUCUGCCGGGAAAAUAUUCACGUGGCAGAAAGCGGGGAAUCCUUCGAAGAUUCGUUUCGAAUCUUGGGGCUAAUAUCCAAAUAGGAUAGGUGGCGCUCACCUCCAGCCCGACAGCUAACCUCGUAAACUAAAUUGAGAGAGCUU
Molecule: small RNA, 162 nt
Filed under: Candidatus Omnitrophota bacterium
Lineage: Bacteria; Pseudomonadati; Candidatus Omnitrophota
Description: Omnitrophica WOR c-di-AMP sequence
Rfam family: c-di-AMP riboswitch aptamer (ydaO/yuaA leader)
About the family: This family represents a conserved RNA structure found upstream of the ydaO and yuaA genes in Bacillus subtilis and related genes in other bacteria. The ydaO/yuaA element is thought to act as a genetic "off" switch for the ydaO and yuaA genes in its native state. It is believed that the element may be triggered during osmotic shock leading to activation of ydaO, a predicted amino acid transporter gene, and members of the yuaA-yubG operon which code for KtrA and KtrB K+ transporters.
Source: RNAcentral